Paramuricea clavata is the source of this 388-nucleotide non-coding RNA. Lineage: Eukaryota; Metazoa; Cnidaria; Anthozoa; Malacalcyonacea; Plexauridae. The record is from the annotation of a GenBank genome assembly.
CUUCGGAAUGGCUAAUUGACCGCCCCAAUUAAGUUUUUUUUCUUCAUAUUUUUCCAGGUGAGCAAACCAUUGAAAGACAGUGUUCAGGAUAUGUUGGUGAAACAUCAUCUAUUCAGCUGGGAUUUAUAGUCCAUGCAGUAUCCUUCAUAAAUCAUGCAUUCACUACAUAACAACAUUCACUAUAUAUGUAUAUUCAGUCUAUUUGAUGCUGUCCUAGAUAGCACGAAUAAUUCAGCGAAUAGACUGAACUACUUUGUUUGCACUCUUAACUCAAAUGGUCUCGUCUUCAUGUGGCUAUUUGCCCAUGUUUCGUGAUGAAUAGAGCGUUUGCACAUGACGUCACAGCCGCCAUGUUGGUCACAGAAUAAAGGGUGUCUGUAAAAGCCGG